RNAcentral lists this ribosomal RNA (39 nucleotides) under Fibrocapsa japonica. RNAcentral describes it as "partial large subunit ribosomal RNA". Lineage: Eukaryota; Raphidophyceae; Chattonellales; Chattonellaceae. The record is from RNAcentral.
UCGGACCUCAGAUCAAGCAAGAAGACCUGCUGAAUUUAA